UAAAACAGAAAAAGGACUCAUAUAAUUUCGCUUACAUGGCGCGAAAGUUUCUACGGGAUCGCCGAAAGAUCCUGCUAUGAGUGU
Molecule: non-coding RNA, 84 nt
Filed under: human gut metagenome
Description: Purine riboswitch
Rfam family: Purine riboswitch aptamer
About the family: Riboswitches are metabolite binding domains within certain messenger RNAs that serve as precision sensors for their corresponding targets.
Source: RNAcentral